AGUGCCCGGCUGCAAGCAAGGGGCGGUCGAUCCCGGCUUUUCGGAUUACUGAAGUUCCACCCGUCUCUGCGCCGCGCCGCCGUGACGCGUGCGUCUCUGCGCCUGCGCCACGCCUCCACCCCUGGACGCGCUAGCAUGUGUCUCUGCGCCUGCGCCGGCGCGGCGCGCCUCUCUGCGCCUGCGCCGGCGCGGCGCGCCUCUCUGCGCCUGCGCCGGGGGAGUUGCGUUCUCGUCAGCACAGAGCCGCAGAGCACCGCGAGGGCGGAGCUGCGUUGUCCUCUGCACAGAUUUCGGUGGUACUGCGAAGGCGGAGCAGAGUUCUCGUCAGCCAUGAAUAAUCAAGGUGAGAGACCAGUUAGAGCGGUUCAGUGCGGAAAACGGGAAAGCAAAAGCCCCUCUGAAUGCUGCGCACCGAGAUUCUCCCAAGGCAAGGGGAGGGGCUGCAUUGCAGGGUCCACUUGCAGCGUCGGAACGCAAAUGCAGCAUUCCUAAUGCACACAUGAUACCCAAAAUAUAACACCC
This 522-nucleotide long non-coding RNA is filed under the name Homo sapiens (human). RNAcentral describes it as "HSALNT0145694". The record is from RNAcentral. Lineage: Eukaryota; Metazoa; Chordata; Mammalia; Primates; Hominidae.